This 301-nucleotide ribosomal RNA is filed under the name uncultured bacterium. RNAcentral's name for it is "partial 16S ribosomal RNA". It matches the Rfam family "Bacterial small subunit ribosomal RNA", at positions 509 to 807 of the family's 1533-position model. The record is from RNAcentral.
CAGUCGCCACGGUAAUACGUAGGUGGCAAGCGUCGUCCGGAAUUACUGGGCGUAAAGCGCACGUAGGCGGUUAUUCAAGUCAGAGGUGAAAGCCCGGGGCUCAACCCCGGAACUGCCUUUGAAACUAGAUGACUGGAAUCUUGGAGAGGUCAGUGGAAUUCCGAGUGUAGAGGUGAAAUUCGUAGAUAUUCGGAAGAACACCAGUGGCGAAGGCGACUGACUGGACAAGUAUUGACGCUGAGGUGCGAAAGCGUGGGGAGCAAACAGGAUUAGAUACCCGGGUAGUCCCUGUCUCUUAUAC